UACGUAGGGAGCAAGCGUUGUCCGGAUUUAUUGGGCGUAAAGAGCUCGUAGGCGGUUCUGUAAGUCGGGUGUGAAAACUCCAGGCUCAACCUGGAGAUGCCACUCGAUACUGCGGUGACUUGAGUCUGGUAGGGGAGCACGGAAUUCCUGGUGUAGCGGUGAAAUGCACAGAUAUCAGGAGGAACACCGGUGGCGAAGGCGGUGCUCUGGGCCAGUACUGACGCUGAGGAGCGAAAGCGUGGGGAGCGAACAGG
This 254-nucleotide ribosomal RNA is filed under the name uncultured bacterium. RNAcentral's name for it is "partial 16S ribosomal RNA". It matches the Rfam family "Bacterial small subunit ribosomal RNA", at positions 524 to 776 of the family's 1533-position model. The record is from RNAcentral.